This is a long non-coding RNA of Sinocyclocheilus anshuiensis, 189 nucleotides long. RefSeq lists it as uncharacterized. The record is from RefSeq and is a predicted model, not a curated record. The transcript is spliced from 3 exons. NCBI's taxonomy places the organism in Eukaryota, Metazoa, Chordata, Actinopteri, Cypriniformes, Cyprinidae.
GAGGAAGCUGCUUUGUAUCUUAACAGGGUUUAACAGGUCCAAUCGGUCCCCCUGGUUCUGCGGGACCCAACGGUGAAAAGGGAGAAUCUGGACCUGCAGGACCGUCUGGAGCUGCUGGUACUCGCGGUGUUCCUGGUGACAGAGGAGAGACUGGUCCUUUUGGUCCUGCUGGUUUUGCUGGUCCUCCUG